This is a long non-coding RNA of Oreochromis aureus, 543 nucleotides long. The record is from Ensembl. Lineage: Eukaryota; Metazoa; Chordata; Actinopteri; Cichliformes; Cichlidae.
GCAGGGUUGGGGGUAUGCAGGUCUGAACCACCUGACUUUCCACUUUAUGGACUCCCAGUACAGUGACUGAGUCUCACUAAAAGAAAAAUAUGGAUUAUAUGAAGCCAGUUCCAGCUUUUAUCAGUUGAGAGAAAUACUCUGCAGUGGCUGAUGUGUUAGUGUUGAGCAGGAGGACUACUUGAUGAUCCUGUGACAGGAGGACUUAGAAGUAGCAGAGUAGAAGUGGUGUCCGCAUCGACAACAGGCUGAAAUGAAAGACUAACACAGAGGCCGUAUAUACAAGAAGGGGUUGUGGUGAGCACAGUCUACUUUGGUGUGGUUUGCUGAUGGAACUGGUGACACCAACUAAAUAAACUGAUUAUGAAUACUAACUGUGAGAAAAGGAAAGAAGAAACAUUUUGUCACUCACUCAAGUGACUUAAAAAAAUGGCUGAAGAAGUGACGAAACAUUUCUCCCACUGAACACGCUAUGUCCAGAUGAACAGAAUCAACCUUUUGGGAUUACUGAAGAAAAUGUUAUCCAUCAUGUGUAAUCCUGAUCAC